RNAcentral lists this long non-coding RNA (1606 nucleotides) under Salmo salar (Atlantic salmon). RNAcentral describes it as "lncRNA (ENSSSAG00000091006.1)". The record is from RNAcentral. Lineage: Eukaryota; Metazoa; Chordata; Actinopteri; Salmoniformes; Salmonidae.
UCAACACACAACCAACACUAUUCACCUUGUUAUGAUGAGGCGUUAAAAUCAAACAAUCUAUCUAUGUGGAAGUCCUUUCAUGUCCUUUCAGGUCGGCACAUGCUGGUCAGUAUAUGACCAUUGUGGCAUAGUCAUGGCCUUGCUCAAACUUGACUCAGUAGGAUGGAGGAGCACCAGCAUGGGACACGGUGGCAUAGCACCAAUCAUCUUCACCUUCCUGUUAUUGCAACAAAGGGAUGAGGACAAAUCACGAUUUGAAAGAAAACAUCAAAUCAUCAAAUCCUUUCAAUAAACCACCAUUCCAACUGUUUUUCAUUUAUAACAUGCUUAUGUGUUGUGUGCCAGCCAAAUGUACUGUUUAUGCACAGACAUCCAAAAAAGCACUAUGGUGGCAAAGUAGAGGAAGAGCGUGAGGCAGCUACAUAAAAACAUAAUUAUGUCAUGGUAUUGCCUUCUUUUCCUGUGGAGAUUCUACAGGAUUUGUUGUGUCACUUGCUGUGUUAACAGAAUCACAGAAAUGUGCUGUUAAAACGGGAGUGUGGUAAAUAUCUCUAUAAUAAUAGGCCUACACACGUACACUUCACUGUGGCAUCAUACAUACUUGUUACGGUAGGGUCUCCUGGCAAUGUCUGGUCACUGGGCGAUCUGAAAGACAUGGUUAGGUGAGACAGGCAUUCACAUUUAAACUGUAUGUUCUGUAUGCUGUCAUAAUCAUGCUGUUCAACACACAACCAACACUAUUCACCUUGUUAUGAUGAGGUGUCCGUUCCCUAUGACAGUAAAACAAUGGAAUACAUGAGUGAUUCUGUCUGAUCGGUUUUGCUAAUACGUUUAAAAGGCUGUUAGAUACUAGGUUCACAUACUCUUUGCUUUCAGUGAGAGGAGACAGGUGAUGCAGAAUAUGAAUACUGCAAGUAGAAUCAUGAAUCCUAUCAGGGCCAUACAUCCGAUGAUGUACUUAGUCAGCAUGUCUGUAACAGAGUAAAAUGUAUUUUUGACCAAAUGGAUGAAUCACCUAAAUCAGGAAUCUAUGCAUUAAAUUUCUCAUGUAAUCUUUCUUACUUGUGUUCCACACCACCACUGUGACAUUUUUGCUGGGAGGUGAGUCCUUUUCGUAAUGACACUGGAUGGUGACUUUUGACCACAGCCCUCUGGCUUCCACCCAAGCAGCUCUGACCCCUUAACUGGGAGGGAGCAUUGGUUGUGGCUGGCAUUUGAGCGACCAAGCUCCUUGAGUUUAGAAUCCACAUAGAACAAUCACUGCUGACCCUCUACAAGGGCAGAGGACUCGCAGCUCAGCUCAACCACUUCAGUCAGGGUCACAAACUUCAGGCUUACUGAGAUCUGGUGCUUCUUCUCCUGGGUAAUCCAAGUGUUUGUCUGAUUCUCCUUGUCCCCUUGAAGGAUGAGGAAAGAGAGAGAUAGUUGAGGAAAGAGAGAGAUAGUUGAGGAAAGAGAGAGAUAGUUGAGGAAAGAGAGAGACAUAAGGCACCAGCAGCACAUUCAUUGGAUCAUGGUUAGGAGUUCUUUGAAGGUCCCAAACCUGCCACCUGUUAUUAUGCAUAAUGCAGAGAGAGAAGUGAAACAGGAUAUAUGGAAAUGAGAU